UACGUAGGUGGCAAGCGUUGUCCGGAAUUAUUGGGCGUAAAGCGCGCGCAGGCGGUCCUUUAAGUCUGAUGUGAAAUCCCACGGCUCAACCGUGGAAGGUCAUUGGAAACUGGGGGACUUGAGUACAGAAGAGGAAAGUGGAAUUCCAAGUGUAGCGGUGAAAUGCGUAGAGAUUUGGAGGAACACCAGUGGCGAAGGCGACUUUCUGGUCUGUAACUGACGCUGAGGCGCGAAAGCG
RNAcentral lists this ribosomal RNA (238 nucleotides) under uncultured bacterium. RNAcentral describes it as "partial 16S ribosomal RNA". It matches the Rfam family "Bacterial small subunit ribosomal RNA", at positions 524 to 761 of the family's 1533-position model. The record is from RNAcentral.